UUCUAAUAAUCCUUGAAAAUACAAAAAUAGUUCAACUCUAAUUUUUAAUUCUAUAUUAAUACUAAUAGUUUAUCAAAAUUAAUGUAAAAUUUUUAUAAGUAUUUAAUUUGAAUUUUUAUUCCUUUUUGACACAAUUUUAUACAUUUUGAAGCUCAAAAAUAAAUCCAAGACAUAGGCCCAACCUCAUAGCCAUUUCUCAUUCUUCUUUCAUUAUACAAAAAUACCCUACCAUACCAAUACUACAACAAUGGAGAACUAAAUAAAAAAAACCCUAAACACAAAUAUACGCAGCCACCGAACCACUAGCGGUAACACCACCACUGCCCAACAACCCUUCUUCACGAUCAGCCAGCCGCCGUUUACCUCCUUCAACACCAGCCAACGAUGAACCAGCAGCAACACCGUCCCCAACUUCCCAAAAUCAUAUAAGAAUUUCAGUUUCUUUUGAUUCUGUUAGUUCUCAAAUCCGAAAAAAAAAAUCUGUUUCUUCUUCUUGAAUUCAAUUGUGUUUUGCAGCAAUGGGGUUUUGAUUGAAGUCAUUUUGGGUUCGAGCUGAAGCAGCGAUCCAAGGUCUAUUCUUGGUCUUUGUCGCGGCUCCUUUAUUCGAUUUUAUCGCCGUUUCUCAUCAGAUGUUUGGGAUCGAAGGAAUGUAUGUUUGUUUAUUUUUUCCACUGUUGAAUAAAAAAAUUCAGUUUAACAGGUUCAUUUCUGUCUUUCUUAUCUCAUUCGAUUUUUGUCAGAUUUAAUUUUCCUUCCGUUACUUGGAUUCUGUUUCACUUUCGUGCUUAAAGGCUUAUGGGUUUGAAUCUGUUUGCUUGAAAAAUUGAUUGAAUGUGUGUGACAGCAUGGAUUAACUUUGUUUUUCAAAAAGUAACGUGAAGAAAUUUGAAGUUUUGUUGUUAUGGGUUUUGAACGCCGUAGGGGGUUUUGUCUGAUUCAAAAAGCAAAAUCACCUUUGAAACAGCCUCUCUGUCCUUUCGGGUAGGAGUAAGGCUUGUCUACAUAUUACCCUCCCCAGACCCCACCUGGUGGGAGUAUACUGGAUAGUUGUUGUUGUUGUACCUUUGAAAAAAUUGUCACGGCAAACAAUUGGAAAAGUUAUUACAAUUUUAGCUUUGGAUAAUUCUUUUAUUAGUUUUUUUUUUAAAUUUAUUUUACUAUAUCGUUCUUUGCUAAAAGUAUG
This 1183-nucleotide long non-coding RNA is filed under the name Nicotiana benthamiana. RNAcentral describes it as "long non-coding RNA (NBEN_LNC017292)". The record is from RNAcentral. Lineage: Eukaryota; Viridiplantae; Streptophyta; Magnoliopsida; Solanales; Solanaceae.